CACUGCCCUAAUUCCAGUAGCCUGGAUACAAUAUAAGGGACGCAGAGAGGUUUGCCUUGUCCCUUGUUGCUUUGUUACCUUUUGACUGCCAUGAACUGUUUUUCCUCUGUGAUGCCCUCUGCUAUGCCACCCUACCUUGGAGCCAGGUGAUUAUGGACUGAAACCUCUACAAACUUGAAACAGAAAACUAAUACCCACAAGAGACUGAUCCGAAUCCUCAGUUCUCCCUGGUUAGUAUGGCCGGGCAGACUCUUUUCCUCCGUUUGCCAUUCCCUUCCUGAAGCCUAGCACACACCAUGGGCAACAGAAGGGGCAUUUGGCAAUGUGACCAAACACAGAGGGAUGGACAAGCCCUUUUCAGGGUGUUAACACAGGAGGGAGGGCAGUCUUUUCCACGUGAAGGUGUGAUUGUGUUUACCCCACUGACAGGAUCUGAUGCACCUCUGGUUUUGUUCCAAGUGGAAGAGAGCUGAAUGGCUCACGGCCUGUGCCAGAGGUGAGAAAGUAGAGAUGGGAUCCUGGGGAAAGGGUGCAAGUAUCUGUCAUGGAGGGGGAAAAAGAGACAGGAAAAGUCCCAAGGAAAAGAUGUUUUUAUUUGUUGGCAGAAAGAGAGUGUUUUACUUGUUAUUUGAAGAGUGGCCAGGGCUGGGGAUUUAGCUCAGUGGUUCUGAUGUCUGAUGUCUGCCUCGCAAGUGGAAGGACCUGAGUUUGAUCCCCAGUACCAAAAAAAAGAAGAGUGGCCACAUAGGCAACUCAGUGUGCCAGGAUGGAAUUUCUUUUGCCAUUAAGGGAUUAGAGUUGCUGAUACAGAAAAAGGAGAGGAUCAUUUUCCAAACUCUUACUUCCUGUAACUCUGAGUUAGGAGUUCUGACGCUGACUUGAAGCAAUGGACUAUUGUG
RNAcentral lists this long non-coding RNA (899 nucleotides) under Heterocephalus glaber (naked mole-rat). RNAcentral describes it as "lncRNA (ENSHGLG00000044916.1)". The record is from RNAcentral. Lineage: Eukaryota; Metazoa; Chordata; Mammalia; Rodentia; Bathyergidae.